UUACAUUGAUUGAAAAUUUAAUCGUCUCUUUUUUUUAUAUAUAUAUGUAGCUUGCAUUCAUAGUAAGUCAUGCAGCAAUAUCUUCAGAAGUUUAUUGGAAAGUAAAAUUGCCCAACACGCAGAUGCCUAAAGUGAUCAAAGAUUUUCUUCCCCACACAGGUUUUUCUUCAACUCCACGCAUUUUGUUUUAACAUUACGAAUCUGUUUAAUUUUAUUUAUAUCACAUAAAGUGACUUCUCUAAAAAGUACAUUGCUAUGUAAGCCAAUUUGACCUUCUACUCAUGAGAGCUUAAUUUGUAGAUCAUAACUUCAACAGUAAUCAGAAAGUAUACCGCGGUAACAUCGAUUCUGGACUGGUGCCUUGGCAUCAUGAUGCUACGGAGGAAGAGAUUCGUGAAUUGAAAGACGAUCAAAAAGUAUACCGCGGUAACAUUGAUUCUGGACUGGUCCCUUGGCAUCAUGCUACUACAGAGCAAGAGAUUCAUGAACUGAAAGACAAUGACAAUAAUUUUCUUUACAGACCUUACUUCUUCGAAAAUGACUUGAAGAAAGGAAAUAUCAUCAAUUUUCCCUCUUUGAAACAUAAAAAGAGGAAGAGAUUCAUGAAUUGAAAGUAUAUCGCGGUAACAUUGAUUCUGGACUGGUCCCUUGGCAUCAUGCUACUACAGAGCAAGAGAUUCAUGAACUGAAAGACAAUGACAAUAAUUUUCUUUACAGACCUUACUUCUUCGAAAAUGACUUGAAGAAAGGAAAUAUCAUCAAUUUUCCCUCUUUGAAACAUAAAAAUGAUGCACCAUUUUUGCCUCGCCAAUCAACCAUUCCCUUCUCAUCGGAAAAAAUCCCUGAAAUUCUAAAUUAUUUCUCAAUCGAUAGUAAGUCAAAGGAUGCUCAAAUAAUCAAGGAAACAAUCAAUUUAUGUGAAGAGCCAGAUCUCCAUAAAGAGAAGAAAUUUUGUGCAACCUCGUUGGAGUCGAUGGUAGAUUUCAUGUUAUCCGAGCUAGGAACAAACAAUAUCCAAGCAAUUACAACAGAGGUAGAAGGGGAAAGUAGUCAAAAAUUUCAGAAAUACACUAUGGAAAAAGUUGAACAGAUAGCGGAUGGAAAUAACAUGGUAUGCCACAAAGUUAACUACGCGUACGCUGUGCAUUAUUGUCAUGUUGGAGGAAGAACGAAGACAUUCAUGGUAUCUAUGAUAGGUGUUGAUGGAACAAAAGUUAAAGCACUAUCAGUAUGCCACCAAGAUACAUCUUUUUGGACCCCAAAGGGAUUACCUUUUGUAAUGCUCAAUGUUAAGCCUGGAACUACCCCUAUUUGUCAUUUCCUUCCAAGUGAUGAAAUUGUUAUUUUCCCUUCUAAAGAGGCCAUUAAUUAGGCUAUCUCAUAUUUAAACUUAAUAUGUUGUGUGAUUACAGAAUCAUGCUAGCUAUUAUUUGUAUUAUGUCAUUAUGAUUAUGAAAAUGAUUCUGGUUUCAUGAUUUA
RNAcentral lists this long non-coding RNA (1479 nucleotides) under Solanum tuberosum (potato). RNAcentral describes it as "long non-coding RNA (STUB_LNC002783)". The record is from RNAcentral. Lineage: Eukaryota; Viridiplantae; Streptophyta; Magnoliopsida; Solanales; Solanaceae.